GGUUGGCUGGCUUAGUCAGUAGAGCAUGGGGCUCUUGAUCCCAGGGUCGUGAGUUCAAGCCCCACGUUAGGCA
Molecule: transfer RNA, 73 nt
Filed under: Ailuropoda melanoleuca (giant panda)
Lineage: Eukaryota; Metazoa; Chordata; Mammalia; Carnivora; Ursidae
Rfam family: tRNA
About the family: Transfer RNA (tRNA) molecules are approximately 80 nucleotides in length. Their secondary structure includes four short double-helical elements and three loops (D, anti-codon, and T loops).
Source: Rfam by way of RNAcentral